Molecule: ribosomal RNA, 886 nt
Filed under: Goniopora columna
Lineage: Eukaryota; Metazoa; Cnidaria; Anthozoa; Scleractinia; Poritidae
Description: eukaryotic LSU rRNA
Rfam family: Eukaryotic small subunit ribosomal RNA (bases 1-152)
Source: RNAcentral
CAAUCGAUUGAUGGUUUAGUGAGGCCUUCUGACUGGCGCCGCUACUCUGGCAACAGAGCGGCGGAUGCCGGGAAGUUGGUCAAACUUGAUCAUUUAGAGGAAGUAAAAGUCGUAACAAGGUUUCCGUAGGUGAACCUGCGGAAGGAUCAUUACCGAUGUGAAAAAUCCCAGGGUAAACCUCCUUUACCCGUGGGGACUGGGAAACAACUUUUUAGGGGGUGGCCCCGGGGUGGGGCCUUAAAUGGGGGAAAAGUUCCUUCCCCCCGCCCCCCCCUUGGGGUUAAGAAAUCCCUUUGAACGUUAAAGAAUGGAAACCUAUGGUUCAUGGAUUAAAUGGAUGAAAAAAAAAGGAAGAAAAAUGGAAAACCACUUUUGACCGGGGAUCUCUUGGCUCACGGAUCCAUGAAGAACGCAGCCCGCUGCCAAUAGGAAGGGGGAUUGGAGGAUUCCGGGGAUCCAUGAAACUUUGAAACCCAAUGGCCCUCUUGGGUUCUCCCAGAGCUGUCUGUCUAGUGUCGGAUUUAACGAACGCACUGUGAGUGCGGUAUUGAGUGUCACGGCGUGUUAGCAAGCAAGCAUGCAUGAUGAGUCCUUGAUGCAUCACAUGGCUCGUAGUAUCGAUGAUCUUGAUGCUAGCUGAAUGAUAUUACCUCUUCAUCCUGCAAGCUGAACAAGUACAUCAUGCAGUGAGCAUAACCUAUCUGACUCAUACGCAGCUGCAGUACUGAUGAUAUAGUGAGAAGAGCUACAGCAUCAUCAUACGCAUCACAGUAUCGCAUGCAGUCGACGCUCAUGCUGAUCGCUGCGAAUGCUACUGCUGAUAUCGACUAGUGCUACGUGUCAGCGCUGAAGCUGAAUCGCUGCGUGCAGAGUACGAUCGAGUGAC